Molecule: ribosomal RNA, 2249 nt
Filed under: Escherichia coli
Lineage: Bacteria; Pseudomonadati; Pseudomonadota; Gammaproteobacteria; Enterobacterales; Enterobacteriaceae
Description: bacterial LSU rRNA
Rfam family: Bacterial large subunit ribosomal RNA
Source: RNAcentral
GUGUGACUGCGUACCUUUUGUAUAAUGGGUCAGCGACUUAUAUUCUGUAGCAAGGUUAACCGAAUAGGGGAGCCGAAGGGAAACCGAGUCUUAACUGGGCGUUAAGUUGCAGGGUAUAGACCCGAAACCCGGUGAUCUAGCCAUGGGCAGGUUGAAGGUUGGGUAACACUAACUGGAGGACCGAACCGACUAAUGUUGAAAAAUUAGCGGAUGACUUGUGGCUGGGGGUGAAAGGCCAAUCAAACCGGGAGAUAGCUGGUUCUCCCCGAAAGCUAUUUAGGUAGCGCCUCGUGAAUUCAUCUCCGGGGGUAGAGCACUGUUUCGGCAAGGGGGUCAUCCCGACUUACCAACCCGAUGCAAACUGCGAAUACCGGAGAAUGUUAUCACGGGAGACACACGGCGGGUGCUAACGUCCGUCGUGAAGAGGGAAACAACCCAGACCGCCAGCUAAGGUCCCAAAGUCAUGGUUAAGUGGGAAACGAUGUGGGAAGGCCCAGACAGCCAGGAUGUUGGCUUAGAAGCAGCCAUCAUUUAAAGAAAGCGUAAUAGCUCACUGGUCGAGUCGGCCUGCGCGGAAGAUGUAACGGGGCUAAACCAUGCACCGAAGCUGCGGCAGCGACACUGUGUGUUGUUGGGUAGGGGAGCGUUCUGUAAGCCUGCGAAGGUGUGCUGUGAGGCAUGCUGGAGGUAUCAGAAGUGCGAAUGCUGACAUAAGUAACGAUAAAGCGGGUGAAAAGCCCGCUCGCCGGAAGACCAAGGGUUCCUGUCCAACGUUAAUCGGGGCAGGGUGAGUCGACCCCUAAGGCGAGGCCGAAAGGCGUAGUCGAUGGGAAACAGGUUAAUAUUCCUGUACUUGGUGUUACUGCGAAGGGGGGACGGAGAAGGCUAUGUUGGCCGGGCGACGGUUGUCCCGGUUUAAGCGUGUAGGCUGGUUUUCCAGGCAAAUCCGGAAAAUCAAGGCUGAGGCGUGAUGACGAGGCACUACGGUGCUGAAGCAACAAAUGCCCUGCUUCCAGGAAAAGCCUCUAAGCAUCAGGUAACAUCAAAUCGUACCCCAAACCGACACAGGUGGUCAGGUAGAGAAUACCAAGGCGCUUGAGAGAACUCGGGUGAAGGAACUAGGCAAAAUGGUGCCGUAACUUCGGGAGAAGGCACGCUGAUAUGUAGGUGAAGUCCCUCGCGGAUGGAGCUGAAAUCAGUCGAAGAUACCAGCUGGCUGCAACUGUUUAUUAAAAACACAGCACUGUGCAAACACGAAAGUGGACGUAUACGGUGUGACGCCUGCCCGGUGCCGGAAGGUUAAUUGAUGGGGUCAGCGCAAGCGAAGCUCUUGAUCGAAGCCCCGGUAAACGGCGGCCGUAACUAUAACGGUCCUAAGGUAGCGAAAUUCCUUGUCGGGUAAGUUCCGACCUGCACGAAUGGCGUAAUGAUGGCCAGGCUGUCUCCACCCGAGACUCAGUGAAAUUGAACUCGCUGUGAAGAUGCAGUGUACCCGCGGCAAGACGGAAAGACCCCGUGAACCUUUACUAUAGCUUGACACUGAACAUUGAGCCUUGAUGUGUAGGAUAGGUGGGAGGCUUUGAAGUGUGGACGCCAGUCUGCAUGGAGCCGACCUUGAAAUACCACCCUUUAAUGUUUGAUGUUCUAACGUUGACCCGUGAUCCGGGUUGCGGACAGUGUCUGGUGGGUAGUUUGACUGGGGCGGUCUCCUCCUAAAGAGUAACGGAGGAGCACGAAGGUUGGCUAAUCCUGGUCGGACAUCAGGAGGUUAGUGCAAUGGCAUAAGCCAGCUUGACUGCGAGCGUGACGGCGCGAGCAGGUGCGAAAGCAGGUCAUAGUGAUCCGGUGGUUCUGAAUGGAAGGGCCAUCGCUCAACGGAUAAAAGGUACUCCGGGGAUAACAGGCUGAUACCGCCCAAGAGUUCAUAUCGACGGCGGUGUUUGGCACCUCGAUGUCGGCUCAUCACAUCCUGGGGCUGAAGUAGGUCCCAAGGGUAUGGCUGUUCGCCAUUUAAAGUGGUACGCGAGCUGGGUUUAGAACGUCGUGAGACAGUUCGGUCCCUAUCUGCCGUGGGCGCUGGAGAACUGAGGGGGGCUGCUCCUAGUACGAGAGGACCGGAGUGGACGCAUCACUGGUGUUCGGGUUGUCAUGCCAAUGGCACUGCCCGGUAGCUAAAUGCGGAAGAGAUAAGUGCUGAAAGCAUCUAAGCACGAAACUUGCCCCGAGAUGAGUUCUCCCUGACUCCUUGA